This 572-nucleotide ribosomal RNA is filed under the name Malassezia pachydermatis. RNAcentral describes it as "partial large subunit ribosomal RNA". It matches the Rfam family "Eukaryotic large subunit ribosomal RNA", at positions 55 to 615 of the family's 3401-position model. Lineage: Eukaryota; Fungi; Basidiomycota; Malasseziomycetes; Malasseziales; Malasseziaceae. The record is from RNAcentral.
GGAAAAGAAACUAACAAGGAUUCCCCUAGUAACGGCGAGCGAAGCGGGAAGAGCUCAAAUUUGAAAGCUGGCACCUUCGGUGUCCGCGUUGUAAUCUCGAGACGUGUUUUCCGUGUGGCGCUAUGGACAAGUCCCUUGGAACAGGGCAUCGUAGAGGGUGAAAAUCCCGUACUUGCCAUGGCUGUACCAUGCUUUGUGAUACACGCUCUAAGAGUCGAGUUGUUUGGGAUUGCAGCUCAAAAUGGGUGGUAGACUCCAUCUAAAGCUAAAUAUCGGGGAGAGACCGAUAGCGAACAAGUACCGUGAGGGAAAGAUGAAAAGCACUUUGGAAAGAGAGUUAAAAGUACGUGAAAUUGUCGAAAGGGAAGCGCUUGAAGUCAGCCAUGCUGCUUGAGACUCAGCCUUGCUUUUGCUUGGUGUAUUUCUCGGUAGCAAGCCAGCAUUGGUUCGAGUCGUCGGAGAAGGGUAUGAGAAAUGUGGCAUCCUCGGAUGUGUUAUAGACUUGUACUGGAUACGACGAUUUGGAUCAAGGAACGCAGUGUGCCUCUGGCGGGUCUUCGGACACCUUCACA